This 462-nucleotide ribosomal RNA is filed under the name uncultured bacterium. RNAcentral's name for it is "partial 16S ribosomal RNA". It matches the Rfam family "Bacterial small subunit ribosomal RNA", at positions 338 to 795 of the family's 1533-position model. The record is from RNAcentral.
CCUACGGGGGGCAGCAGUGAGGAAUAUUGGUCAAUGGACGCAAGUCUGAACCAGCCAAGUAGCGUGCAGGAUGACGGCCCUCCGGGUUGUAAACUUCUUUUAUUUGGGAAUAAAAUGGGGCUCGUGGGCCUCUUAUUAUAUUUCCCAUCAGAAAAAGUACCGGCUACUUCCUUUACAGCAGCCGCGGUACUACGGAAGGUCCGGGCGUUAUCCGGAGUUUUUGGGUUUAAGGGGUGCGUAGGCCGGAUUUUAAGUUAGCUGUGAAAGUGCGGGGAUCAACCGUGGAAUUGCAGUUGAAACUGGAGGACUGGAGUGAACACAGGGAGGCCGGAAUGCAUGGUGUAGCGGUGAAAUGCUUAGAUAUCAUGAAGAACUCCGAUCGCGAAGGCAAGAGGCCGGGGUACAACUGACGCUGAGGCUCGAAAGUGCGGGUAUCAAACAGGAUUAGAUACCCAAGUAGUC